Molecule: long non-coding RNA, 617 nt
Organism: Zalophus californianus (California sea lion)
Lineage: Eukaryota; Metazoa; Chordata; Mammalia; Carnivora; Otariidae
Exons: 2
Source: RefSeq, a predicted model, not a curated record
CAGGAGGCAACGGCUCCCUUCCAACGACAUCCUCCUCCGUCCUCCCCCAUCCUCCCCCAGUAGCAGCGCGGCUGGAAGUUGCCUCUAUCUUUAGAAACAUUUCAUAUCACUUUAACUCCCAACAUUGGGACUAACAGUAUACAUCUGGCAAAACUACUAGCUGGAGUUACUGGUGCAAUGAGCAAACGUGGAAGAACUUCUCUCUCUGUGAUGCUACCUGGCUUGCUCAAGUUUUGACACUGUGACCCUGGUCUGUCAGCACCAUGCUUUACUCAACUGAAAUAAGCAAGCCGCCACUGUGGUGGGAUGAGGGAGAGGGUGGGGUGAGAAGGGGAAUGAGGGCAAUUAUAUACAUCAUUAAAAUACCACGAUAUACAGUGAAAAUGUGUCUGUUAAUACAUCUGAGACUUGAAAAUCAUUAAUCUUAGCUAUUAAAACUACAUUCAACUAUUACAAUUUCAAAUACCUGCAAAUGUAGAGCUUUCAGAUAUGCCCUAAAUUUAAAUAUGAAUGGAAGUUCAUUAUCAGCAAGCUAGAAGAAACAAAUUGCAUACAUUUUGUAAGUGGUAACCUACCCCCUGCCCCACCCCCCCAAAAAAGUAGAAAUUAGGUAAAAA